AAAGCGCUUCCCUUCAGAGGA
This 21-nucleotide microRNA is filed under the name Macaca mulatta (Rhesus monkey). RNAcentral describes it as "mml-miR-518f". Its record names the gene mml-miR-518f. Lineage: Eukaryota; Metazoa; Chordata; Mammalia; Primates; Cercopithecidae. The record is from miRBase by way of RNAcentral.